GACGAACGCUGGCGGCGUGCUUAACACAUGCAAGUCGAGCGGUAAGGCCCUUUCGGGGGUACACGAGCGGCGAACGGGUGAGUAACACGUGGGUGACCUGCCCUCAGCUCUGGGACAAGCCUGGGAAACCGGGUCUAAUACCGGAUAUGACUCCAUGACGCAUGUUGUGGGGUGGAAAGCCUUGUGCGGCUGAGGAUGGGCCCGCGGCCUAUCAGCUUGUUGGUGGGGUGAGGCCUACCAAGGCGACGACGGGUAGCCGGCCUGAGAGGGCGACCGGCCACACUGGGACUGAGACACGGCCCAGACUCCUACGGGAGGCAGCAGUGGGGAAUCUUGCGCAAUGGGCGAAAGCCUGACGCAGCGACGCCGCGUGAGGGAUGACGGCCUGGUGUAAC
Molecule: ribosomal RNA, 395 nt
Filed under: uncultured bacterium
Lineage: Bacteria
Description: bacterial SSU rRNA
Rfam family: Bacterial small subunit ribosomal RNA
Source: RNAcentral